CCACAUAACACUUUAAAGUGCAAAAAAUAAAUAUUUUUCAGCGAAUAGUUGUGUAGGAUGGAAACAAUGGCUAUAUGUCUUCAUCUAAGUAAAAACACAUACCCGAUCUUAUAAGAGGGGAUGAUUUCAUGUGAAUUUGUAUGAUGUACAAUGUACGUAAACUAAACAUGAAGGUCCCUAACCCCACACCCAAAUCUUAACAUCAGUGAGGCGUAGACACAUUGACAAAGUCAACAGUGUAUGAGUAAGCCACCAAUUUGCUAAAAUGUAAAAUAGUUUCAGACUGCCAUAAAAAUGUGUUGACUAUUCAGAUUAUGGCCAGUAAUCAAAAUAAGGAACUACUUUGAUUGAGAUCUUUACAUGCAAAUAUCUUUUGUGCUCCAUAGAAGAAAGCCAUAUUGGUUUGGAAUGACAUGAGGCUUUCCCUUUUCCUGUCGAGGAUGGUGCUCGGAAGUUGUUGUUAUUGAAGAUCUUUCCUCCAUUGCGUUUUCUACAGGAUGAGGCUUUAAGGGGGGCUUCCCUUUCUGGAACUGUGAUUGUCCUGCCAUGUGUAUUUCAUGUAUAAAUAGCAAUUUUGGAAUGGAGGUCACUGAAACUGAGACGAAGACUGGUGCAAAAGAAUCUUCAAGAAAUAAUCUGCCUAGAAAUAAAAAGUCUGACAUAAUUUACUCACCUUUAUGUCACUUCAAACCC
Molecule: long non-coding RNA, 693 nt
Organism: Cyprinus carpio carpio
Lineage: Eukaryota; Metazoa; Chordata; Actinopteri; Cypriniformes; Cyprinidae
Source: Ensembl